RNAcentral lists this ribosomal RNA (775 nucleotides) under Prymnesium sp. RCC1941. RNAcentral describes it as "bacterial SSU rRNA". It matches the Rfam family "Bacterial small subunit ribosomal RNA", at positions 520 to 1302 of the family's 1533-position model. Lineage: Eukaryota; Haptophyta; Prymnesiales; Prymnesiaceae. The record is from RNAcentral.
GUAAUACGGGGGAUGCAAGCGUUAUCCGGAAUUAUUGGGCGUAAAGCGCCUGUAGGUUGUUUAAUAAGUCUGUUGUUAAAGACUAGGGCUUAACCCUAGAAAAGCAAUGGAAACUACUAGACUUGAGUAUGGCAGGGGUAGAGGGAACUUCUAGUGUAGCGGUGAAAUGCGUAGAUAUUAGAAAGAACACCAGUGGCGAAAGCGCUCUACUGGACCAUUACUGACACUGAGAGGCGAAAGCUAGGGUAGCAAAAGGGAUUAGAUACCCCUGUAGUCCUAGCCGUAAACGAUGGAUACUAGAUGUUGUAUAUUUUUUACAGUAUCGUAGCUAACGCGUUAAGUAUCCCGCCUGGGGAGUACGCUCGCAAGGGUGAAACUCAAAGGAAUUGACGGGGGCCCGCACAAGCGGUGGAGCAUGUGGUUUAAUUCGAUGCAACGCGAAGAACCUUACCAGGGCUUGACAUACUACAAAUCUCUUUGAAAGAAGAGAGUGCCUUCGGGAAUGUAGAUACAGGUGGUGCAUGGCUGUCGUCAGCUCGUGUCGUGAGAUGUUGGGUUAAGUCCCGCAACGAGCGCAACCCUUAUUUUUAGUUACCAAUUUUAUUGGGUUCUCUAGAAAGACUGCCGGUGACAAACCGGAGGAAGGUGAGGAUGACGUCAAGUCAGCAUGCCCCUUAUGUCCUGGGCCACACACGUGCUACAAUGGUUAUGACAAAGAGUCGCAAGUUCGYGAGGACAAGCUAAUCUCAUAAACUUAACCUAAGUUCAGAUUGUA